RNAcentral lists this ribosomal RNA (2894 nucleotides) under Alteromonas mediterranea. RNAcentral describes it as "23S ribosomal RNA". It matches the Rfam family "Bacterial large subunit ribosomal RNA". Lineage: Bacteria; Pseudomonadati; Pseudomonadota; Gammaproteobacteria; Alteromonadales; Alteromonadaceae. The record is from RNAcentral.
GUUGUAUGGUUAAGUGACGAAGCGUAUACGGUGGAUGCCUUGGCAGUUAGAGGCGAUGAAGGACGUGUAAGUCUGCGAAAAGCUGUGGUGAGCCGACAAAAUGCAUUUGAGCCACAGAUGUCCGAAUGGGGAAACCCACCUGUUUACAGGUAUCGUUACGUGAAUACAUAGCGUAACGAGGCGAACGAGGGGAACUGAAACAUCUAAGUACCCUUAGGAAAAGAAAUCAAACGAGAUUCCCCUAGUAGCGGCGAGCGAACGGGGAACAGCCCUUAAGCUGUUUAGUGUGUAGUGGAAUCCUUUGGGAAGAGGAGCGAUACAGGGUGAUAGCCCCGUACACAAAGCGUGCUUUACAGUGAAAUCGAGUAGGUCGGGACACGUGUUAUCUUGACUGAAUAUGGGGGGACCAUCCUCCAAGGCUAAAUACUCCUAACUGACCGAUAGUGAACCAGUACCGUGAGGGAAAGGCGAAAAGAACCCCUGUGAGGGGAGUGAAAUAGAACCUGAAACCGUAUACGUACAAGCAGUGGGAGCCCUUCGGGGUGACUGCGUACCUUUUGUAUAAUGGGUCAGCGACUUAUAUUUAGUAGCAAGGUUAAGCGAAUAGCGGAGCCGUAGCGAAAGCGAGUGUUAACUGCGCGUUUAGUUGCUAGGUAUAGACCCGAAACCCGGUGAUCUAGCCAUGAGCAGGUUGAAGGUUGAGUAACAUCAACUGGAGGACCGAACCCACUGACGUUGAAAAGUCAGGGGAUGACUUGUGGCUGGGGGUGAAAGGCCAAUCAAACCGGGAGAUAGCUGGUUCUCCCCGAAAUCUAUUUAGGUAGAGCCUCGGACGAAUUCCAUUGGGGGUAGAGCACUGUUAAGGCUAGGGGGUCAUCCCGACUUACCAACCCUUUGCAAACUCCGAAUACCAAUGAGAACUAUCCGGGAGACACACGGCGGGUGCUAACGUCCGUCGUGGAGAGGGAAACAACCCAGACCGCCAGCUAAGGUCCCAAAAUAUUGCUAAGUGGGAAACGAUGUGGGAAGGCACAGACAGCUAGGAGGUUGGCUUAGAAGCAGCCACCCUUUAAAGAAAGCGUAAUAGCUCACUAGUCGAGUCGGCCUGCGCGGAAGAUGUAACGGGGCUAAGCAAUAUACCGAAGCUGCGGCAGCAUGUUUACAUGCUGGGUAGGGGAGCGUUGUGUAAGUGGAUGAAGGUGAGUUGUAAAGCUUGCUGGACAUAUCACAAGUGCGAAUGCUGACAUGAGUAACGAUAAUGGGAGUGAAAAACUCCCACGCCGGAAGACCAAGGUUUCCUGUCCCAUGCUAAUCAGGGCAGGGUAAGUCGGCCCCUAAGGCGAGGCAGAAAUGCGUAGUCGAUGGGAAACGGAUUAAUAUUUCCGUACUUAUAUAAUCAGUGAUGGAGGGACGGAGAAGGCUAGGCAAGCUUGGCGUUGGUUGUCCAAGUGAAAGUGAGUAGGCUGGAAUUUUAGGUAAAUCCGGAAUUCUAAGGCCGAGACACGAGACGAGCUCCCAAGGGAGUGAAGUUGUUGAUGCCCUGCUUCCAGGAAAAGCUUCUAAACUUAUGAUUAUAUGAACCGUACCCCAAACCGACACAGGUGGUCAGGUAGAGAAUACUAAGGCGCUUGAGAGAACUCGGGUGAAGGAACUCGGCAAAAUUGUACCGUAACUUCGGGAGAAGGUACGCCUCUGUUUGUGAACACUUUACGUGGUAAGCAAAUGGAGGCCGCAGUGACCAGGUGGCUGGGACUGUUUAUUAAAAACACAGCACUCUGCAAACUCGUAAGAGGACGUAUAGGGUGUGACACCUGCCCGGUGCCGGAAGGUUAAUUGAUGGGGUUAGUUUUCGGACGAAGCUCUUGAUCGAAGCCCCGGUAAACGGCGGCCGUAACUAUAACGGUCCUAAGGUAGCGAAAUUCCUUGUCGGGUAAGUUCCGACCUGCACGAAUGGUGUAACCAUGGCCACGCUGUCUCCACCCGAGACUCAGUGAAAUUGAAAUCGCAGUGAAGAUGCUGUGUACCCGCACCUAGACGGAAAGACCCCGUGAACCUUUACUACAGCUUGGCACUGAACAUUGAACCUACAUGUGUAGGAUAGGUGGGAGGCUUUGAAGCACAGUCGCUAGAUUGUGUGGAGCCGUCCUUGAAAUACCACCCUUGUAUGUUUGAUGUUCUAACAUUGGUCCCUUAUCGGGAUUGUGGACAGUGUCUGGUGGGUAGUUUGACUGGGGCGGUCUCCUCCCAAAUAGUAACGGAGGAGCACGAAGGUUAGCUAAUCACGGUCGGACAUCGUGAGGUUAGUGCAAUGGCAUAAGCUAGCUUAACUGCGAGACAGACACGUCGAGCAGGUACGAAAGUAGGUCAUAGUGAUCCGGUGGUUCUGUAUGGAAGGGCCAUCGCUCAACGGAUAAAAGGUACUCCGGGGAUAACAGGCUGAUACCGCCCAAGAGUUCAUAUCGACGGCGGUGUUUGGCACCUCGAUGUCGGCUCAUCACAUCCUGGGGCUGAAGUCGGUCCCAAGGGUAUGGCUGUUCGCCAUUUAAAGUGGUACGCGAGCUGGGUUUAGAACGUCGUGAGACAGUUCGGUCCCUAUCUGGUGUGGGCGUUGGAUGAUUGAUGGGAGCUGCUCCUAGUACGAGAGGACCGGAGUGGACGAACCGCUGGUGUUCGGGUUGUCAUGCCAAUGGCAUUGCCCGGUAGCUAUGUUCGGAACGGAUAACCGCUGAAAGCAUCUAAGCGGGAAGCCGGCCCAAAGAUGAGUCAUCCCUGACCUUUAAGGUCUGGAAGGGUUGUUAUAGACGAUGACGUUGAUAGGCAGGGUGUGGAAGCGUUGUAAGGCGUUAAGCUAACCUGUACUAAUUGCCCGAGAGGCUUAACCAUACAACGCCUAA